GACGAACCGUGCGAACGUUAUUCGGAAUCACUGGGCUUAAAGCGCGUGUAGGCGGGAGGGAACGUCGGCCGCUGAAAUCCCCCGGCUUAACCGGGGAAGGGGCGCCGAUACGGCCUUCCUGGAGGGACGUAGGGGGAGCUGGAACUUCCGGUGGAGCGGUGAAAUGCGUUGAGAUCGGAAGGAACGCCCGCGGCGAAAGCGAGCUCCUGGACGUCUGCUGACGCUGAGACGCGAAAGCCAGGGGAGCGAACGGG
RNAcentral lists this ribosomal RNA (254 nucleotides) under uncultured bacterium. RNAcentral describes it as "partial 16S ribosomal RNA". It matches the Rfam family "Bacterial small subunit ribosomal RNA", at positions 524 to 776 of the family's 1533-position model. The record is from RNAcentral. RNAcentral also lists the same sequence under 1 other name.